RNAcentral lists this ribosomal RNA (1242 nucleotides) under metagenome. RNAcentral's name for it is "bacterial LSU rRNA". It matches the Rfam family "Bacterial large subunit ribosomal RNA", at positions 1564 to 2816 of the family's 2925-position model. The record is from RNAcentral.
UGAAUACGAGACGCUAAGGCGUCGAAGUAGUGUAUGUCAUACUUCCAAGAAAAGCUUGCACUGUCAUAGAUAAAAAACGCCUGUACCAUAACCGACACAGGUGGGUAGGUAGAGUAUACUAAGGGGCGCGAGAUAACUCUCUCUAAGGAACUCGGCAAAAUAACUCCGUAACUUCGGGAGAAGGAGUGCCUUAUUCGUAAGGUUGCAAUAACAAGAUCCAAGCAACUGUUUAUCAAAAACACAGGUCUCCGCUAGGUCGUAAGACGAUGUAUGGGGGCUGACGCCUGCCCAGUGCCAGAAGGUUAAAGAAGUUGGUUAGCAAUUGCGAAGCUGAUAACUGAAGCCCUGGUGAACGGCGGCCGUAACAAUAACGGUCCUAAGGUAGCGAAAUUCCUUGUCGGGUAAGUUCCGACCCGCACGAAAGGCGUAAUGAUUUGGAUACUGUCUCGGAGAGGGGCUCGGUGAAAUAGACUUGUCUGUGAAGAUGCGGACUACCUGCACCAGGACAGAAAGACCCUAUGAAGCUUUACUGUAACUUGAAAUUGAAAUUGGACUUUAUUCGCGCAGUAUAGGUGGGAGGCGUUGAUUAUAAUCUUGUGGGAUUAUUGGAGCCAUCAGUGAGAUACCACUCUUGUAAUGUUAGAUUUCUAACUUUGAAUCAUUAUCUGGUCAAAGAACAGUUUCAGGCGGGCAGUUUGACUGGGGCGGUCGCCUCCUAAACGGUAACGGAGGCGUACAAAGGUUUCCUCUGAACGGUUAGAAAUCGUAUCUAGAGUGUAAAGGCAUAAGGAAGCUUGACUGUGAGACCUACAAGUCGAGCAGGGACGAAAGUCGGUCUUAGUGAUCUGACGGUACUGAGUGGAAAGGCCGUCACUCAACGGAUAAAAGUUACUCUAGGAUAACAGGCUGAUCUCCCCCAAGAGUUCACAUCGACGGGGAGGUUUGGCACCUCGAUGUCGGCUCAUCGCAUCCUGGGGCGGUAGUACGUCCCAAGGGUUGGGCUGUUCGCCCAUGAAAGCGGUACGCGAGCUGGGUUCAGAACGUCGUGAGACAGUUCGGUCCAUAUCCGCUGUAGGCGUUAGAAUAUUGAGAGGAGCCUUCUUUAGUACGAGAGGACCGAGAAGGACAUACCUCUGGUGUACCAGUUAUCGUGCCAACGGUAAACGCUGGGUAGCUAUGUAUGGAGUGGAUAACCGCUGAAAGCAUCUAAGUGGGAAGCCCACCUCAAGAUAAGUAUUCUCA